Camelus ferus (Wild Bactrian camel) is the source of this 233-nucleotide long non-coding RNA. It matches the Rfam family "HOXA11 antisense RNA 1 conserved region 4". Lineage: Eukaryota; Metazoa; Chordata; Mammalia; Artiodactyla; Camelidae. The record is from Rfam.
GGUAUUUAUACAUCUUGGGGAGAUUUAGAGUAUAAACUCUAAUAUCUUUGGUAUUUAAGUGUCAACAUCGAUUUAUUUAUUUAUUGCCGAGCUGACUGUAACUGACUCAAUAACAAAUCUAAUCAUGUAUUGCACUGGGAAAGAAAUAUUCUUAUUAUGCAUUUUUUCCAAAUGAUGGCCCACCAUUGUAUUUGAAUACAUGCUGUAAAUAUCAGUAAUAUCAAGUAAUUACU